RNAcentral lists this ribosomal RNA (444 nucleotides) under uncultured bacterium. Its description in RNAcentral is "bacterial SSU rRNA". It matches the Rfam family "Bacterial small subunit ribosomal RNA", at positions 29 to 523 of the family's 1533-position model. The record is from RNAcentral.
AGCGAACGCUGGCGGCAGGCCUAACACAUGCAAGUCGAGCGCCCAGCAAUGGGAGCGGCAGACGGGAUAGUAACACGUGGGAACGUACCUUUCAGUUCGGAACAACCCAGGGAAACUUGGGCUAAUACCGAAUACGUCCGUAAGGAGAAAGAUUUAUCGCUGAAAGAUCGGCCCGCGUCUGAUUAGCUAGUUGGUGAGGUAAUGGCUCACCAAGGCGACGAUCAGUAGCUGGUCUGAGAGGAUGAUCAGCAUCACUGGGACUGAGACACGGCCCAGACUCCUACGGGAGGCAGCAGUGGGGAAUAUUGGACAAUGGGCGCAAGCCUGAUCCAGCCAUGCCGCGUGGAUGAUGAAGGCCUUAGGGUUGUAAGUCUUCGGCGGGGAAGAUAAUGACGGUACCCGCAGAAGAAGCCCCGGCUAACUUCGUGCCAGCCGCCGCCGUAA